Molecule: ribosomal RNA, 836 nt
Filed under: Pichia fermentans
Lineage: Eukaryota; Fungi; Ascomycota; Pichiomycetes; Pichiales; Pichiaceae
Description: bacterial SSU rRNA
Rfam family: Eukaryotic small subunit ribosomal RNA (bases 1-563)
Source: RNAcentral
AAGUUAGAGACUUCUCUUGAUCUUACGGGUGGUGGUGCAUGGCCGUUUUUAGUCCUUGGAGUGAUUUGUCUGCUUAAUUGCGAUAACGGACGAGACCUUAACCUGCUAAAUAGGGCUGCGAGCAUCUGCUCGGGUGCUCUUCUUAGAGGGACUAUGGGUAUCAAACCCAUGGAAGUUUGAGGCAACAACAGGUCUGUGAUGCCCUUAGACGUUCUGGGCCGCACGCGCGCUACACUGACGGAGCCAGCAAGUCCAACCUUGGUCGAGAGGCCCGGGUAAUCUCGUGAAACUCCGUCGUGCUGGGGAUAGAGCAUUGUAAUUUUUGCUCUUCAACGAGGAAUUCCUAGUAAGCGCAAGUCAUCAGCUUGCGUUGAUUACGUCCCUGCCCUUUGUACACACCGCCCGUCGCUACUACCGAUUGAAUGGCUUAGUGAGGCUUCAAGAUUGGCGCCGCGGGAGGGGCAACUUUCCCAUGGGGCCGAGAAUCUAGUCAAACUUGGUCAUUUAGAGGUCGUAAAAGUCGUAACAAGGUUUCCGUAGGUGAACCUGCGGAAGGAUCAUUACUGUGAUUUAGUACUACACUGCGUGAGCGGAACGAAAACAACAACACCUAAAAUGUGGAAUAUAGCAUAUAGUCGACAAGAGAAAUCUACGAAAAACAACAAAACUUUCAACAACGGAUCUCUUGGUUCUCGCAUCGAUGAAGAGCGCAGCGAAAUGCGAUACCUAGUGUGAAGUGCAGCCAUCGUGAAUCAUCGAGUUCUUGAACGCACAUUGCGCCCCUCGGCAUUCCGGGGGGCAUGCCUGUUUGAGCGUCGUUUCCAUCUUGCGCGUGC